CCUACGGGAGGCAGCAGUAGGGAAUAUUGCUCAAUGGGGGAAACCCUGAAGCAGCAACGCCGCGUGGAGGAUGAAGGUUUUCGGAUUGUAAACUCCUUUUGUUAGAGAAGAAAAUGACGGUAUCUAACGAAUAAGCACCGGCUAACUCCGUGCCAGCAGCCGCGGUAAUACGGAGGGUGCAAGCGUUACUCGGAAUCACUGGGCGUAAAGAGCGCGUAGGCGGGGUAGCAAGUCAGAUGUGAAAUCCUAUGGCUUAACCAUAGAACUGCAGUUGAAACUGUUAUUCUAGAGUAUGGGAGAGGUAGGUGGAAUUCGUGGUGUAGGGGUAAAAUGCGUAGAGAUCAAGAGGAAUACUCAUUGCGAAGGCGGCCUGCUAGAACAUAACUGACGCUGAGGCGCGAAAGCGUGGGGAGCAAACAGGAUUAGAUACCCCAGUAGUC
Molecule: ribosomal RNA, 440 nt
Filed under: uncultured bacterium
Lineage: Bacteria
Description: partial 16S ribosomal RNA
Rfam family: Bacterial small subunit ribosomal RNA
Source: RNAcentral